CGCUCGGUGGCAGAUGGUCCACAUCUGCUUCUCAUUCGACUUCGGGUCAGAUUCGGCAGAAGUUCGCUCGUUCGACUCGAGCCCGAGCCA
Non-coding RNA from Mycena latifolia, 90 nucleotides. The record is from the annotation of a GenBank genome assembly. NCBI's taxonomy places the organism in Eukaryota, Fungi, Basidiomycota, Agaricomycetes, Agaricales, Mycenaceae.